RNAcentral lists this ribosomal RNA (492 nucleotides) under uncultured bacterium. Its description in RNAcentral is "partial 16S ribosomal RNA". It matches the Rfam family "Bacterial small subunit ribosomal RNA", at positions 29 to 507 of the family's 1533-position model. The record is from RNAcentral.
AGUGAACGCUGGCGGUAGGCCUAACACAUGCAAGUCGAACGGCAGCACAGUAAGAGCCUGCUCUUACGGGUGGCGAGUGGCGGACGGGUGAGGAAUACAUCGGAAUCUACUUUUUCGUGGGGGAUAACGUAGGGAAACUUACGCUAAUACCGCAUACGACCCACGGGUGAAAGCAGGGGAUCUUCGGACCUUGCGCGAUUGAAUGAGCCGAUGUCGGAUUAGCUAGUUGGCGGGGUAAAGGCCCACCAAGGCGACGAUCCGUAGCUGGUCUGAGAGGAUGAUCAGCCACACUGGAACUGAGACACGGUCCAGACUCCUACGGGAGGCAGCAGUGGGGAAUAUUGGACAAUGGGCGCAAGCCUGAUCCAGCCAUACCGCGUGGGUGAAGAAGGCCUUCGGGUUGUAAAGCCCUUUUGUUGGGAAAGAAAAGCAGCAGGUUAAUACCCCGCUGUUCUGACGGUACCCAAAGAAUAAGCACCGGCUAACUUCGUG